UGGGGCAUGGCUCAGUGGUAGAGUGUUUACCUAGCAUGCUUGAGGCCCUGGGUUCAGUCCCUAGUGCUGCAA
RNAcentral lists this transfer RNA (72 nucleotides) under Fukomys damarensis (Damara mole-rat). It matches the Rfam family "tRNA". Rfam says of the family: Transfer RNA (tRNA) molecules are approximately 80 nucleotides in length. Their secondary structure includes four short double-helical elements and three loops (D, anti-codon, and T loops). Further hydrogen bonds mediate the characteristic L-shaped molecular structure. tRNAs have two regions of fundamental functional importance: the anti-codon, which is responsible for specific mRNA codon recognition, and the 3' end, to which the tRNAs corresponding amino acid is attached (by aminoacyl-tRNA synthetases). tRNAs cope with the degeneracy of the genetic code in two manners: having more than one tRNA (with a specific anti-codon) for a particular amino acid; and 'wobble' base-pairing, i.e. permitting non-standard base-pairing at the 3rd anti-codon position. Lineage: Eukaryota; Metazoa; Chordata; Mammalia; Rodentia; Bathyergidae. The record is from Rfam by way of RNAcentral.